Molecule: ribosomal RNA, 406 nt
Filed under: uncultured bacterium
Lineage: Bacteria
Description: partial 16S ribosomal RNA
Rfam family: Bacterial small subunit ribosomal RNA
Source: RNAcentral
AUUGAACGCUGGCGGCAGGCCUAACACAUGCAAGUCGAACGAGUGGCGGACGGGUGAGUAAUGUCUGGGAAACUGCCCGAUGGAGGGGGAUAACUACUGGAAACGGUAGCUAAUACCGCAUACCAUCGGAUGUGCCCAGAUGGGAUUAGCUAGUAGGUGGGGUAACGGCUCACCUAGGCGACGAUCCCUAGCUGGUCUGAGAGGAUGACCAGCCACCCGGGAAGUGGGACAGGUGCCAGACUCCUACGGGAGGCGGCGUUGGGGAAUAUUGCACAAUGGGGGCAGGCCGAAGGCAGCCAUGCCGCGUGUAUGAAGAGGGCCUUCGGGUUGUAAAGUACUUUCAGCGAGGAGGCGUUACUCGCAGAAGAAGCACCGGCUAACUCCGUGCCAGCCGCCGCGGUAAUUC